Molecule: transfer RNA, 74 nt
Filed under: Candidatus Omnitrophota bacterium
Lineage: Bacteria; Pseudomonadati; Candidatus Omnitrophota
Description: Candidatus Omnitrophica bacterium tRNA-Arg
Rfam family: tRNA
About the family: Transfer RNA (tRNA) molecules are approximately 80 nucleotides in length. Their secondary structure includes four short double-helical elements and three loops (D, anti-codon, and T loops). Further hydrogen bonds mediate the characteristic L-shaped molecular structure. tRNAs have two regions of fundamental functional importance: the anti-codon, which is responsible for specific mRNA codon recognition, and the 3' end, to which the tRNAs corresponding amino acid is attached (by aminoacyl-tRNA synthetases). tRNAs cope with the degeneracy of the genetic code in two manners: having more than one tRNA (with a specific anti-codon) for a particular amino acid; and 'wobble' base-pairing, i.e. permitting non-standard base-pairing at the 3rd anti-codon position.
Source: RNAcentral
GUCCCCAUAGCUCAACUGGAUAGAGCGACGGACUUCGGAUCCGUAGGUUGGAGGUUCGACUCCUCCUGGGGACA